RNAcentral lists this ribosomal RNA (199 nucleotides) under uncultured bacterium. RNAcentral describes it as "partial 16S ribosomal RNA". It matches the Rfam family "Bacterial small subunit ribosomal RNA", at positions 328 to 539 of the family's 1533-position model. The record is from RNAcentral.
ACGCUCGACACCUACGUGAGGCAGCAGUGGGGGAAUAUUGCACAAUGGGGGAAACCCUGAUGCAGCGACGCCGCGUGGAGGAAGAAGGUCUUCGGAUUGUAAACUCCUGUUGUUGGGGAAAAAGAGGAUGGUACCCAACAAGGAAGUGACGGCUAACUACGUGUCAGCAGCCGCGGUAAUCUGAGCGGGCUGGCAAGGC